AGAGUUUGAUCAUGGCUCAGGAUGAACGCUAGCGGGAGGCUUAACACAUGCAAGUCGAGGGGUAUAAGUAGCAAUACUUAGAGACCGGCGCACGGGUGAGUAACGCGUAUGCAACCUGCCUGUUACAGGGGGAUAGCCCGUAGAAAUGCGGAUUAAUACCCCAUAGUACUGAGAAGUCGCAUGAUUUUUCAGUCAAAGUUUCGGUGGUAACAGAUGGGCAUGCGUGACAUUAGCUAGUUGGAGAGGUAACGGCUCACCAAGACUACGAUGUCUAGGGGUUCUGAGAGGAAGAUCCCCCACACUGGUACUGAGACACGGACCAGACUCCUACGGGAGGCAGCAGUGAGGAAUAUUGGUCAAUGGGCGAGAGCCUGAACCAGCCAUCCCGCGUGCAGGAAGAAUGCCCUAUGGGUUGUAAACUGCUUUUUCGCAUGAAGAACAUUCCGGUCGUGACCGGGACUGACGGUAAUGCGUGAAUAAGCACCGGCUAACUCCGUGCCAGCAGCCGCGGUAAUACGGAGGGUGCAAGCGUUAUCCGGAUUUAUUGGGUUUAAAGGGUGCGUAGGCGGCAAUUUAAGUCAGUGGUGAAAUCCUGCAGCUCAACUGUAGAACAGCCAUUGGAACUGAAUUACUUGAGUGAUCUUGAGGUAGGCGGAAUGUGUAGUGUAGCGGUGAAAUGCUUAGAUAUUACACAGAACACCGAUUGCGAAGGCAGCUUACUAAGGAUUUACUGACGCUGAUGCACGAAAGCGUGGGGAUCAAACAGGAUUAGAUACCCUGGUAGUCCACGCUGUAAACGAUGAUAACUCGCUGUUGGCGAUAUACAGUCAGCGGCUUAGCGAAAGCGUUAAGUUAUCCACCUGGGGAGUACGCUCGCAAGACUAAAACUCAAAUGAAUUGACGG
RNAcentral lists this ribosomal RNA (904 nucleotides) under uncultured bacterium. RNAcentral's name for it is "bacterial SSU rRNA". It matches the Rfam family "Bacterial small subunit ribosomal RNA", at positions 8 to 916 of the family's 1533-position model. The record is from RNAcentral.